GCAACCAUUGCCAAUCUUAACCACAUGUAGAAAAGUCGUUCCGUCGUCGUUCCGGCCACCUAUAGAAAGAUCUAACAUGCUCAUAUCAAUAACAAUGGCCUCAGCUCAAGCUUCUCGCAUAUUUCCACACCUCUUCAAUUAUCCAAAUUGGCAUGGUGGGGACCCAUUUCACGUUCUCGCUCUUGUAAGUUGGGAGUAACCCAAACCACUAUCGUUAUGGCACGUGUACGUUUCGAGCAACUACAAAACCCACCUUCCCUCCCUAGCAGAAAUUUCAGUGGAUCGUAGCAAUCUUCUCUCUAGCAGCGGCAACACAUUCCUAGCGCAACGGACUCCUCUGGCCAAGCUUACUAUUUCAGCUACACCGAAGGGGCACCAUGGCAACUGUAACAGCUGCACACUUCGUUUCAAGGAGCUCACACUCGAGCACCAAUGCAUCAGAAACCAAGGCUAAUAAUUUGGCUCACAUUAGACUCAGGACCCAAAGCAUGAUUCACAAUGGUUUAAGGUCCCACAACAUGACGGAUAAGCUUCAAAUCAGGACACAAUCAAAGGCUGGGAAAAGGGCCACUGAGAAUAGCAGGCCUUCUGCCAAAAUCAUUUGUGGUCAUGGAAUGAAUUUGAUCUUUGUUGGAGCGGAAGUUGGUCCGUGGAGCAAAACUGGUGGACUUGGUGAUGUUCUUGGGGGACUUCCCCCUGCCAUGGCCGCAAGAGGGCACCGCGUCAUGACAGUUUCGCCCCGCUAUGACCAGUACAAGGAUGCCUGGGAUACCUGUGUAUUGGUGGAGAUUAAAGUUGGAGAUAGAAUUGAAACUGUCCGCUUCUUCCACUGCUACAAACGAGGAGUUGAUCGUGUCUUUGUGGAUCACCCAAUGUUCCUUGAGAAGGUAUGGGGCAAAACUGGAUCUAAAAUCUAUGGCCCAAGAGCAGGUUUGGAUUACCAGGACAACCAACUGCGAUUUAGCUUGUUAUGCCUUGCUGCUCUAGAGGCACCAAGAGUUCUGAACUUGAACAGCAGCAAAUAUUUCUCAGGACCCUACGGAGAGGAAGCUGUCUUCAUUGCCAACGACUGGCACACUGCUUUGCUUCCAUGUUAUCUAAAAUCAAUUUACCAACCUAUGGGAAUUUACAAAAAUGCUAAGGUUGCCUUUUGCAUCCACAACAUUGCAUAUCAGGGCAGAUUUGCCUUCUCAGACUUCCCACUACUCAAUUUGCCCGAUAAAUUCAAGAGCUCUUUUGACUUUAUCGAUGGGUACGACAAGCCUGUGAAGGGAAGGAAGAUCAAUUGGAUGAAGGCUGGAAUAUUGGAAUCAGACAGGGUUUUGACUGUGAGCCCAUACUAUGCCCAGGAAGUUAUCUCUGGAGUUGAAAGAGGUGUGGAGCUGGAUAACAUCAUUCGCAAAACUGGCAUUACUGGUAUCAUAAAUGGUAUGGAUGUUCAGGAGUGGAACCCUUUUACAGAUAAAUACAUUGGCAUCCACUACGAUGCCACAACUGUUAUGGAUGCAAAACCUUUGUUGAAGGAAGCCCUUCAAGCAGAAGUCGGAUUGCCUGUUGAUAGGAAUAUUCCAUUGAUAGGCUUCAUUGGUAGAUUAGAAGAGCAGAAAGGUUCAGAUAUUCUUGUUGCAGCUAUUUCACAAUUGGUUGAACACAAUGUGCAGAUAGUAAUCCUUGGAACAGGCAAAAAGGACUUUGAAAAGCAGAUUGAACAGCUGGAGCUAUUGUACCCUGACAAGGCUAGAGGAGUGGCAAAAUUCAAUGUCCCCUUGGCGCACAUGAUCAUAGCUGGUGCUGACUUUAUGUUGAUCCCAAGUAGAUUUGAGCCCUGUGGUCUGAUUCAGUUGCAUGCUAUGCGAUAUGGAACAGUAAUGCGCUUUAAACAUUCGUCUUCCUUUCAGUAGCAACCAUCCUGAUUUUAAUCCUUGACUGAUGGCAUGGAUUUUCUUAUCACUUGCUGGAAUGACAAUGCAUAGCAGUUAAUGACUGUAAACAUCUACUAAUUUUGGCGCAGGUUCCAAUUGUUGCUUCUACUGGUGGUCUCGUUGAUACUGUUAAAGAAGGUUACACGGGAUUCCACAUGGGAGCCUUCCACCCUGAGUGUGACAGAGUUGAUCCAGAAGAUGUAGCUGCAGUAGUUAAAACUGUCGCAAGAGCCCUUGCCACUUAUGCCACUGCUGCUUUAAGAGAAGUGAUCCUGAAUUGCAUGGCCCAAGAUCUUUCAUGGAAGGGACCAGCCAGAUUGUGGGAGAAAAUGCUCCUGAGCCUGGAGGUUGCUGGCAGUGAUCCUGGCAUUGAAGGGGAGGAAAUCGUUCCUCUUGCGAAGGAGAACGUUGCCACUCCUUGAGUAGCAAGGAUGAUAUUUUGACGGUCUCUGAUAUUGACAUAUAUAUGGAUAUAUUAAAUGCACAUAUAAACGUCCAUUCCAGUUGCACGUCUGCUAGGAUCAGGGCGACCUCUGUUCUGGUUGGUUGGUUUGUUUGUUUGUUUGUUUGUAUUUUGGUUUAACCGUGCAUUCUCUUGCGGAGGGUGAAUGGUACCUGAAUCAAUGUCGAGAAUUCAUAACUAACGUGUGUAAUCCUUAUUUAAGGAAACAUAAGACUAUUCACAGCCUUUGCUGGGGGUUAUGUGGAUAAAUAAAGGUUUCUUUGCAUGCCUUUAUGGUCAUAUGUGAAUGGAGAUGUGAUUGCAUAUCACAAAAUUUUCUUCAGUGUUUAACUGCCGUGCAUGUUCAGGGGGAUGAAAGCCUAUGAGGAGAGGGACCCUUCAGAAAUUUUGUGAUUUUUAAAGAGAGAAAAUGAAGCUUCAUUGUAUGAGAAACUCAGCAGGGAGUAGGAAUUUGCCAACUGAUGGGGAGUUGGGGAGUGAAAUGCAACCGUAGGCCGAAAUGACGACAAGAGACGCAAUGGCUCUGAAACUCAUGUUCGCGUAUAAGCAGAGCUGCAGCGAAUUAUUCAGGAUUACCAAUUCAGAAAGAAAAGCCCAUUCAUAGGCUAUGAGGAGAAAUAUUUUCAGUUGGCUGUAGAUGCAUGUAGCGCAAACAGUGAAUUCUUGGCAACCAAACAAAUCAUAUAAUUUCAAAAUUUUAGUUAAGAGUAACACUGCAAUUUUCUCGAUUUCAAGUUUUGAUUCAAAUUAAAAGAAUAUAAGUUUGAUACUUGAAUUCAUUUUUAACCAUUGAUGUAUUAUAACGUAACUCAUAUGUAAAUAAACUUUUUAGCCUGGCGUUAAGCUGCUUGUGCAUGCUAAAACUCGACCAGCCUAAACUCGGCCA
This 3271-nucleotide unclassified non-coding RNA is filed under the name Hevea brasiliensis (rubber tree). The record is from RNAcentral. Lineage: Eukaryota; Viridiplantae; Streptophyta; Magnoliopsida; Malpighiales; Euphorbiaceae.